This 758-nucleotide long non-coding RNA is filed under the name Bos taurus (domestic cattle). RNAcentral describes it as "long non-coding RNA NONBTAT019616". The record is from RNAcentral. Lineage: Eukaryota; Metazoa; Chordata; Mammalia; Artiodactyla; Bovidae.
AUGAGGACUCACCAAACCUUAGUUUAAUGACAUGUUUGCUGAUGCCCUGUUGACCAAAAGCACUCACACCCAGGAAAAGCACUCACACCCAGGAUCUGUGUGGAAAGGGACUGCAUACAAGUGUAUGGAAAUGAGAAAGAGAAGAUUGGAAAAUUCAGUGAAGGCCUUGCUGUUAAUGCUCUACCAUGUCCAUUCCGUGGCCUUUUGAGUCAUUUUUUUUUUUCCUCUCAUUGUUUAUUGAGAACAUAUUUAUAUUCUUUUUUCCCUGGGAUAAUGAUUUUGUGUUACUUAACGAACACUUUUUAAUUACAACAUCAGUAGAAUCUGGGAAUGUUUUAUUUUAUUUUAACAUUUCUCCAAAAUAAACAAUUAAUGUUUCGAUUUUCUCUUCAAAUUUAUAUUCAUAACAAUUCAUCCUGAUAAAUGAGGCAACCACCCACACCUUUCGUAAUUGAGCCUGCCUGUAUACCAGUUAAUGGAAAGACUCUAGAUUUUAGUAUAUGGCCAACUCUUAUCCAUAGUGGCCUACAGACACACUUAGGUCACUCACAGGAACUUGGAAUGUGACUUUUGGUUUAUAAAAUAGCAAAGCACACAGGCCUCUUGCAGGACUUGGCAUAGAGCCCUAAUAACUUAGGCCUCACCAGUACCAUUCAGCUUCUUAAAGUUCAUAUAGCAGGUCAUUAAUAGAUACAUCACAUUUUAUAUAAAUUCAACUGAUACUGAUAAAAUCUGAGACCCUAGGUGAUAAAGAUUAG